Pipistrellus kuhlii (Kuhl's pipistrelle) is the source of this 208-nucleotide long non-coding RNA. RefSeq lists it as uncharacterized. The record is from RefSeq and is a predicted model, not a curated record. Lineage: Eukaryota; Metazoa; Chordata; Mammalia; Chiroptera; Vespertilionidae. The transcript is spliced from 3 exons.
AGCCUGAUUCCCUCUGUUCUCGGGCUAUACCCUAAGCACAACUUGAGCGAAAAUCCACUUCUUAAUCAUAUUUGUGGGAGUUAAUAUAACCUUUUUUCCUCAACAUUUCCUAGGACUCUCAGGCAUGCCUCGACGUUACUCAGAUGUGACCCUAUCCUGUACCCAUGGCCCGGGGCUGCAAAAACAACCUGACAACGCUGUCUCCUUU